This is a long non-coding RNA of Cannabis sativa, 844 nucleotides long. RefSeq lists it as uncharacterized. The transcript has 2 exons. The record is from RefSeq and is a predicted model, not a curated record. NCBI's taxonomy places the organism in Eukaryota, Viridiplantae, Streptophyta, Magnoliopsida, Rosales, Cannabaceae.
UUUUUUGAAAAAAAAUAAGAUAUCUUUAUAUAUAUUUUUAUUUUUUAAAAAAAAGGGAAAUUACGCAUUAUACGAACCUUUUCUAAUUUUUUUUUUCCGUUUUUAGGUUUUCUUUUUAAAAUUUUUACUUCUAUAAACAUUUAAUUUCAUAAAUAUAUCUUUAUUGAGUUUUUAAUUUUGUUUUUAAGUUUUGUUGCUGCGGCUUCGGCUUCGGCUAGAGCAAAAGGGAAAGAGGUUUGGGAAUUGAGAAAAGUAAUAAGGGUAUGUAUUAGAGAUGGAGCUAAUCCUAGACAUAGAAACUGGAUUGAUGGAGAUAGAGAUAAAGACAAAUACAAUCCCAGCCCCAAGCGUAGAAAGUUCUCUGGGAGGUGAGUUUGUUUAUGACAUUAAUUGUUGUUGCUUUAAUCUCUGGUGGGACUUUGACUGUAAUGUAAUGGAUCACAAGCUUCGACCCAUAGCCAGUGACCGAACCGAAGUCACACCUCGUCGAACGAAUGAAUGCCCUUUCUCUACGUUCGAGUUCUGAAAGCAAAGCCCAUAGCUAAUUCCUCUGUUUACGCCGCCAAACUCACUCCAUCAAAACCAAAAAACAGAGCUUGCUUUCAACAAAGACGGACUUAACUCAACCAAUCUCCAAAAUUUUGCAAAACAAAAUAUAAUUGUGCUCAUAUUUUAAUAUUAGCGUAUAUUUGAAAAAAAAUUAGAUUAAAAAUAGAAAAGAAAAAGCUGCCCAAAAAAAAAGAGAUUAUUUUAUGGAAAUAUCUUUUUUAAAAAAAAAAACGUAAAAAAUAUAGAAAAAAGGAUAUUUUUACGUCCUAUUUUUUUUUUUAAAAAAAAAAGAAAA